GCCGCAGGGGGAGCUGGCUGUUGUGUCUCUGCUCCCCCUCCCCAGCGCACUACAAAGAGACCGGGGCCGGAAUAUGACGCCAUAUUCCGGCCCCCAGCCUCACUGUGCGGCGCGCAGGGGAGGGGGAGCAGAGACACAACAGCCAGCUCC
Pelobates cultripes (western spadefoot toad) is the source of this 150-nucleotide non-coding RNA. The record is from the annotation of a GenBank genome assembly. NCBI's taxonomy places the organism in Eukaryota, Metazoa, Chordata, Amphibia, Anura, Pelobatidae.